CACAUACUCCCUCCCUCCCAAAAUUCUUGUCUUAGAUUUGUCUAAAUACGGAUGUAUCAAGUCACGUUUUAGAAUUAGAUACAUCCGUAUCUAGACAGAUUUAAGACAAGAAUUUUGGGACGGAGGGGUUAUAUU
Molecule: non-coding RNA, 135 nt
Organism: Triticum urartu
Lineage: Eukaryota; Viridiplantae; Streptophyta; Magnoliopsida; Poales; Poaceae
Source: Rfam